Molecule: non-coding RNA, 141 nt
Filed under: Capsicum annuum
Lineage: Eukaryota; Viridiplantae; Streptophyta; Magnoliopsida; Solanales; Solanaceae
Source: Rfam by way of RNAcentral
UGCUUAGUGCGAGAAGGUCAAGGAAGCUGGUGCCCUGAUGACUGGGAGCUGGCGGGCGGAGCAUCGGAGAACGGUGGUUGUAUAAAUAAUGAUCCUAAGGUAGGGAAAUUCCUUGUUGGGUAAGUUUUUAUCCGCAUGAAA